AGAAGGCUUCAUUUGCUCUGAGUUAUCAUUGAGAACUAAAUGGAGAAGAAAAGAACUGAAGGCCUGAAGAUAUGUCAUCUGUAGAAAAGCCCCAUCCUUCUGCAGGUGGCCUCUUCUCAAGCUUUCUUGGCAAAUCAAGAGCUUCUGCCUUUGGGAGGACAUGCUCUUGACCUCCCACCCAUAUCAGCUCUUAGAGGACAUUCCACGGGAACAUUGCCUUCUUGUCCUCCAGUAUUUUUUAUGGAAACAGAAAUUAGGUUAUCUUCCUUAUGCUCUAGAUGGACAUCUGAAAUCAUCAAACCCUUGAGAGAAACAGCCCUCAUUCUUUUAUGAGACAACCUGGAAGAACACAGGACUCUGAAGAUUUGUCUCCAUAUUCUCUGGAAAGAUGUACUCUGUUUGCAAUAAGAGGGAGCCACAUGGUUUAUUAGAUGGUUAUUAAUUGAGCAUUCUGUGCAAAGAAGUUUGUGCCUUAGAUUUAGAAUUCCACCCUCAGUUGGAAUACAGAUGAUCCCUAACAAGUCACAUGAAAAAAUGAAUUGUGGAGCCAGAAGAGUGAGUUCUUGGAGAACUAAGGGCCAGAGACCUGUGAGCAAGAUUUGAUAAUUUUAUAAAAAUUAAAAGACGAUUUGAAAUGUUAUUGGUCUUACAAAAACUUUUACUUGUGAACUGCAAUUGAUGACAUGA
This 687-nucleotide long non-coding RNA is filed under the name Pan troglodytes (chimpanzee). RNAcentral describes it as "long non-coding RNA NONPTRT011602". Lineage: Eukaryota; Metazoa; Chordata; Mammalia; Primates; Hominidae. The record is from RNAcentral.